Molecule: long non-coding RNA, 312 nt
Filed under: Musa acuminata (dwarf banana)
Lineage: Eukaryota; Viridiplantae; Streptophyta; Magnoliopsida; Zingiberales; Musaceae
Description: long non-coding RNA (MACU_LNC006720)
Source: RNAcentral
UAGAAAAUGGUGAAGCGUGCAUGGCGUGUGGAAGUUAGGACAUAUAUUUCAGCCGAAGGGAUACUCUUAGUUGGUGAUUCAAUCAUCGAUUGAAUGAUGAAAAGUACCGAUGGUCGGUUAUCUUCAGACUGGAGCUCUCCUGGCCUCCUUUUUGAAGCUCUUUUGGCCUCCUUUUUGAAGCUCUUUUGGCCUCCUUUUAGAUUUGCUUGAUAGAAGAAGAGUCUGCGAUUUUAGGUCUUUUGCUAUUUACUUAUGGCCACUAUCUACACUUAAAUGCUUUGUGUAGGUAGCUCUGUAUCAGCAUGAUAUAAU